GACAGAGGGUGCAACCGUUGUUCGGAAUUACUGGGCGUAAAGCGUGUGUAGGCGGCUUUGCAAGUCGGAUGUGAAAGCCCCGGGCUCAACCCGGGAAGUGCACUCGAUACUGCAGAGCUUGAGUGUCGGAGAGGUUGGUGGAAUUCUCGGUGUAGAGGUGAAAUUCGUAGAUAUCGAGAGGAACACCGGCGGCGAAGGCGGCCAACUGGACGAACACUGACGCUGAGACACGAAAGCGUGGGGAGCAAACAGG
RNAcentral lists this ribosomal RNA (253 nucleotides) under uncultured bacterium. RNAcentral's name for it is "partial 16S ribosomal RNA". It matches the Rfam family "Bacterial small subunit ribosomal RNA", at positions 524 to 776 of the family's 1533-position model. The record is from RNAcentral.